GGUUAUGUGUGACGACCCCCUGAAUUUAAGCAUA
Molecule: ribosomal RNA, 34 nt
Filed under: Anopheles peditaeniatus
Lineage: Eukaryota; Metazoa; Arthropoda; Insecta; Diptera; Culicidae
Description: partial 28S ribosomal RNA
Source: RNAcentral